This 1338-nucleotide ribosomal RNA is filed under the name uncultured bacterium. RNAcentral describes it as "bacterial SSU rRNA". It matches the Rfam family "Bacterial small subunit ribosomal RNA", at positions 27 to 1381 of the family's 1533-position model. The record is from RNAcentral.
GGAUGAACGUUGGCGGCGUGCCUAAUACAUGCAAGUCGAACGAAGACUGUAGUAAUACUGUCUUAGUGGCGAACGGGUGAGUAACGCGUGGGUGACCUGCCCCGAAGUGUGGGAUAACAGUUCGAAAGGAUUGCUAAUACUGCAUAAUAUCCAAGAGAUUAGACGCUUUUGGAUUAAAGGAGUAAUUCGCUUCGGGAGGGGCCCGCGUCCCAUCAGCUAGUUGGUAAGGUAAUGGCUUACCAAGGCGAUGACGGGUAGGGGACCUGAGAGGGUGGCCCCCCACAAUGGAACUGAAACACGGUCCAUACACCUACGGGAGGCAGCAGUGGGGAAUCUUGCGCAAUGGGCGAAAGCCUGACGCAGCAACGCCGCGUGCGGGAUGAAGGCCUUCGGGUUGUAAACCGCUUUCAGCAGGGACGAAGAUGACGGUACCUGCAGAAGAAGCUCCGGCUAACUACGUGCCAGCAGCCGCGGUAAUACGUAGGGAGCAAGCGUUGUCCGGAUUUAUUGGGCGUAAAGAGCUCGUAGGCGGUUUCGUAAGUCGAGUGUGAAAAAUCUGGGCUUAACCCAGUGGAGCACUUGAUACUGCGAUGACUUGAGUUUGGUAGAGGAGUGUGGAAUUCCCGGUGUAGCGGUGAAAUGCGCAGAUAUCAGGAGGAACACCAACGGCGAAGGCAGCACUCUGGGCCAGUACUGACGCUGAUGAGCGAAAGCUGGGGGAGCAAACAGGAUUAGAUACCCUGGUAGUCCCAGCUGUAAACGAUGAGUGCUAGGUGUGGGGGGCGACAAUCCUCCGUGCCGCAGUUAACGCAAUAAGCACUCCGCCUGGGGAGUACGGCCGCAAGGCUAAAACUCAAAGGAAUUGACGGGGGCCCGCACAAGCAGUGGAGCGUGUGGUUUAAUUCGAGGCAACGCGCAGAACCUUACCAGGGUUUGACAUCAUACCGACGUCUGUAGAAACACAGAUUUCCGCUUAGGCGGACGGUAUGACAGGUGUUGCAUGGUUGUCGUCAGCUCGUGUCGUGAGAUGUUGGGUUAAGUCCCGCAACGAGCGCAACCCCUAUCCAAUGUUGCCAACAGGUAAAGCUGGGGACUCAUUGGAGACUGCCGGAGACGAUCUGGAGGAAGGUGGGGAUGAGGUCAAAUCAUCAUGGCCCUUAAGCCCUGGGCUACACACGCGCUACAAUGGCCGGUACAACGGGCAGCGAAGGAGCGAUCCGGAGCGAAUCCCAAAAAGCCGGCCCCAGUUGGAAUCGCAGGCUGCAACUCGCCUGCGUGAACAUGGAAUUGCUAGUAAUCGCGAAUCAGCUACGUCGCGGUGAAUACGUUCCCGGGCCU